UAUGCGAUGCCCAACCGAUAGCCUGGUGCCACAGUUUUACUUCUGGGGAUACAUCCGUCCUUCCGUGUAUUCAGUGAGCUGCGUUUUUGCUGAAAUCCACUUGUUGUAGUUGGUGACACGAGUGUAAACACCUGGUUUGUUCUUCCAGGCACAGCCCUCGCCCCAGCUCACCACCCCGAACAGAAACAUCCGGCCUGAUGCUUCACACACCAACGGACCGCCAGAGUCGCCCUGCAAGGACAGUCAGCCAAUCAAUUAAGCAUGAAGCGUGUUUCUAUUGUAGAACUUUUAAAAGGUCAUAUGGAUACAGACUGUCAGUAAAAUGGAAUCAGAGGUCUUUAUACCUCAAAAUCUUUCAAUGAGUUUACUUUCAUGAUUCAGAACAUCCAAGUAUCUAGAAUUCUUCUUAUGAUUUUACUGUGAUUGAUACAAUAAAAUCAAAUGUUAGACAAUGAUACUAAAUGUUAAACCAGAAUUUGGAGUCUUUGAGGGUGAAUUAUCAGCUCUUUAAUACACAUUAAUUUCUGGUGCAAUAGAAUAAUGACAAUCAAUGAAAUGUUUCUUUCUUAAUAUGAAUGGUAAGUUCAAUUAAAAAAUAAUCUAAACACAAAAAAAACUGAGAUGUAAAGAAACUGUUAAGAGAUAUUCACGAGAUACUAGAAAGAUUUCAAACUCUGUAUUUGCAAAGAUUGAAAUUUCUUGAGGCUUACAGAUGAUAAUAAAUUCGAAUAAGAAGAGUAAGAUCACCAGAAAGGUAAUCUGUCUUAAAUUAGGAUUUGCAGCACUUUUAAAUAUCUGUGUUUCCAAAAAGAUGAGAAAAGAAUAUAUACUCAGAUGCUGUAAUCUUGCCAGAGGUCACAGACACAAAGACUGCAUAUCUGCUUAUGAGGAAACAUCUUCUGAUUUUACUCACUUCUCAUUUUGUAUCCAUUUUUAAACCAAGACUGAUGGCGUGUUGCAAGAAAUACGCCUUCAGUUUAUUCGCUUUAUGUUUAUGCAUGCAAUAUUGACACACUGGACUUUGUGCUCACCUUGCAGGCAUCAGUGCUCGAGUCAGGACUCCCAGCACAGAACAUGUUCUCAGUGAUUCUGUUUCCGUACUGCAAUUCACUUGAACAUUCAGCGUUGGAGAGCAGCUUGACGUCAGCCUGUUUCAGGCAGCUGAGUGUGAAGCGGAGGGAGGCAAACUGUCCGAACAGUAGAUGACCUCACUGCACAUCCUCCAUUUCUGCUUUUGAUCUUCACCAGUGCUGCAAAUGUAAAGAUGAACACGUGUAAAAGCAGUGUGCAGCUGUAAGAACCCAGCAAGGUGAAAUGAGCGAACCACCGCAAAGGAAACCAUAGCGCUUAUGGAAGAUAGCAGCCACCCAGGGGUGCGACUCGAUGGGUAUGAAUGAGCCACCCACAAUUUUAUUCAUCCUCCGCUCAGGCCUCUCGCCACACGUCUGCUCUGGAGGGAUACACAGGAUGAGUCAGUGAGUGCUGAUGAAAGGAAAUCAUAAAAAGAAAAGGAAAAAGGUGGGUUUAAAGAGCAAAACUACCUGUGUCCAUAGGUGGUGGAGGAGCUCUUGGUCUUACUGUUGGCCUAGAACCUGCAUUGGAGUAGAAAACAGACCACAUGAGAAAGAUCUAAAUCAAACAUGCAUUUUUUAAAAAGUCUAAUAUUGUAUAUAAAUAUAUUAGAAUAUAAAAAAAACACCAUAAAUUGCAAAUCUUUGUCUUACAUCUAGGAAUGUCACAGAAUUCCCUCACAAUCCUGCUUCGUCUUCGGACAAGGCACCAUGGCAUCAAACUGUAGUCGGGAUUCCUAGUGUUCAAGUACAAUGAUAGUAAACACAUGAUUGUUCUCUCUAACGGAUCCAGGCUUCAGAUUAGUGAAUAGAAUUAUACCUG
This is a long non-coding RNA of Amphiprion ocellaris (clown anemonefish), 1893 nucleotides long. RefSeq lists it as uncharacterized. The transcript has 3 exons. Lineage: Eukaryota; Metazoa; Chordata; Actinopteri; Pomacentridae. The record is from RefSeq and is a predicted model, not a curated record.